Molecule: long non-coding RNA, 99 nt
Organism: Ipomoea nil (Japanese morning glory)
Lineage: Eukaryota; Viridiplantae; Streptophyta; Magnoliopsida; Solanales; Convolvulaceae
Exons: 3
Source: RefSeq, a predicted model, not a curated record
AAAACAAGAUGAUAGAGUCCUUUCUUCAGCUUAGCCAACCCAAUCAUCUUCCCAAGGUGUUGAUCCUGUAUAACACACUGAUUAGAGUGGAAUAGAGUG